AGGGUUUGAUCCUGGCUCAGAACGUACGCUGGCGGCACGCCUAACACAUGCAAGUCGAACGAAGUAGCAAUACUUAGUGGCAGACGGGUGAGUAACAUGUAGGUAUCUUCCCUUUGGCCUGGAAUAACACGAGGAAACUUGUGCUAAUACUGGAUAAGUCUUUACGGAGAAAGCUUUAUGCACCAUUGGAUGAGCCUGCACUUGAUUAGUUUGUUGGUGGGGUAAUGGCCUACCAAGACUUUGAUCAAUAGCUGAUUUGAGAGGAUGAUCAGCCACAUUGGGACUGAGACACGGCCCAAACUCCUACGGGAGGCAGCAGUGGGGAAUAUUGCACAAUGGAGGAAACUCUGAUGCAGCGAUGCCGCGUGAGUGAAGAAGGCCUUUGGGUUGUAAAGCUCUUUCGUCGGGGAAGAAAAUGACUGUACCCGAAUAAGAAGGUCCGGCUAACUUCGUGCCAGCAGCCGCGGUAAUACGAAGGGACCUAGCGUAGUUCGGAAUUACUGGGCUUAAAGAGUUCGUAGGUGGUUGAAAAAGUUGGUGGUGAAAUCCCAGAGCUUAACUCUGGAACUGCCAUCAAAACUUUUCAGCUAGAGUAUGAUAGAGGAAAGCAGAAUUUCUAGUGUAGAGGUGAAAUUCGUAGAUAUUAGAAAGAAUACCAAUUGCGAAGGCAGCUUUCUGGAUCAUUACUGACACUGAGGAACGAAAGCAUGGGUAGCGAAGAGGAUUAGAUACCCUCGUAGUCCAUGCCGUAAACGAUGUGUGUUAGACGUUGGAAAUUUAUUUUCAGUGUCGCAGCGAAAGCGAUAAACACACCGCCUGGGGAGUACGACCGCAAGGUUAAAACUCAAAUGAAUUGACGGGGACCCGCACAAGUAGUGGAGCAUGUGGUUUAAUUCGAAGAUACGCGCAGAACCUUACCAACACUUGACAUGUUCGUCGCGACUUUAAGAGAUUAAAGUUUUCGGUUCGGCCGGACGAAACACAGGUGCUGCAUGGCUGUCGUCAGCUCGUGUCGUGAGAUGUUGGGUUAAGUCCCGCAACGAGCGCAACCCUCACUUUUAGUUGCCAUCAUUUAGUUGGGCACUCUGAAAGAACUGCCAGUGAUAAGCUGGAGGAAGGUGGGGAUGACGUCAAGUCCUCAUGGCCCUUACGUGUUGGGCUACACACGUGCUACAAUGGUAUCUACAACAGGAAGCAAAACUGCGAAGUUAAGCAAAUCCUUAAAAGAUACCUCAGUUCGGAUUGCACUCUGCAACUCGAGUGCAUGAAGCUGGAAUUACUAGUAAUCGUGGAUCAGCGUGCCACGGUGAAUGCGUUCCCGGGUCUUGUACACACCGCCCGUCACACCAUGGGAGUUGGUUCUACCUUAAGGCAAGGUUUAAUACCCUUGACCACGGUAUAGUCAGCGACUGGGGUGAAGUCAUAACAAGGUAACCG
This 1437-nucleotide ribosomal RNA is filed under the name uncultured bacterium. Its description in RNAcentral is "bacterial SSU rRNA". It matches the Rfam family "Bacterial small subunit ribosomal RNA". The record is from RNAcentral.